Molecule: ribosomal RNA, 382 nt
Filed under: Encoptolophus costalis (dusky grasshopper)
Lineage: Eukaryota; Metazoa; Arthropoda; Insecta; Orthoptera; Acrididae
Description: partial 16S ribosomal RNA
Source: RNAcentral
UCUUAAUCCAACAUCGAGGUCGCAAUCUGCUUUGUCGAUAUGAGCUCUCAAAAACAAUUACGCUGUUAUCCCUAAGGUAACUUAAUCUUAUGAUCAUAAAUUAUGGAUCAUUUAAACAUAAAUUAAUGAUUAAAUAAUGAAGAGUUUUUUUAUUCUUCAUGUCACCCCAACAAAACAUCAACAUUUAAUAUAAAAAGAUAAUAAAAGAAAUAUUAAAUUAAAAUGUAAAGCUCUAUAGGGUCUUCUCGUCCUAAAGAAAAAUUUAAGCCUUUUAACUUAAAAGUUAAAUUAUAAAAUUUAUUAAGAGACAGUUAAUUUCUCGUCAAACCAUUCAUUCCAGCCUCUAAUUAAGAAACUAAUGAUUAUGCUACCUUUGCACGGU